UGCCAGCAGCCGCGGUAAUACGAAGGGUGCUAGCGUUGUUCGGAAUUACUGGGCGUAAAGAGCAUGUAGGCGGUUUGUUAAGUCGGAUGUGAAAGCCCCGGGCUCAACCUGGGAACUGCAUCCGAUACUGGCCGACUAGAGUACGAGAGAGGGAGGUAGAAUUCCAUGUGUAGCGGUGAAAUGCGUAGAUAUAUGGAGGAAUACCGGUGGCGAAGGCGGCCUCCUGGCUCGAUACUGACGCUGAGGUGCGAAAGCGUGGGGAGCAAACAGGAUUAGAUA
RNAcentral lists this ribosomal RNA (279 nucleotides) under uncultured bacterium. RNAcentral describes it as "partial 16S ribosomal RNA". It matches the Rfam family "Bacterial small subunit ribosomal RNA", at positions 506 to 784 of the family's 1533-position model. The record is from RNAcentral.